UACGUAGGUGACCAGCGUUGUCCGGAUUUACUGGGCGUAAAGAGCGCGCAGGCGGUCGUUCAAGUCGAGUGUGAAAGCCCCCGGCUCAACUGGGGAGGGUCAUUCGAUACUGAUCGACUGGAAGGCAGGAGAGGGAAGCGGAAUUCCCGGUGUAGUGGUGAAAUGCGUAGAUAUCUGGAGGAACACCGGUGGCGAAGGCGGCGUCCUGGACCAACACUGACACUGAUGAGCGAAAGCCAGGGGAGCAAACGGG
Molecule: ribosomal RNA, 253 nt
Filed under: uncultured bacterium
Lineage: Bacteria
Description: partial 16S ribosomal RNA
Rfam family: Bacterial small subunit ribosomal RNA
Source: RNAcentral